This 451-nucleotide ribosomal RNA is filed under the name uncultured bacterium. RNAcentral's name for it is "partial 16S ribosomal RNA". It matches the Rfam family "Bacterial small subunit ribosomal RNA", at positions 29 to 523 of the family's 1533-position model. The record is from RNAcentral.
AGCGAACGCUGGCGGCAGGCCUAACACAUGCAAGUCGAGCGGGCGUAGCAAUACGUCAGCGGCAGACGGGAGAGUAACACGUGGGAACGUGCCCUUUGGUUCGGAAUAACUCAGGGAAACUUGAGCUAAUACCGGAUAAGCCCUCCGGGGGAAAGAUUUAUUGCCAUUGGAGCGGCCCGCGUCGGAUUAGCUAGUUGGUGAGGUAAUGGCUCACCAAGGCGACGAUCCGCAGCUGGUCUGAGAGGAUGACCAGCCUCACUGGGACUGAGACACGGCCCAGACUCCUACGGGAGGCAGCAGUGGGGAAUAUUGGACAAUGGGCGCAAGCCUGAUCCAGCCAUGCCGCGUGGAUGAUGAAGGCCCUAGGGUUGUAAAGUCCUUUUAACGGGGAAGAUAAUGACGGUACCCGUAGAAUAAGCCCCGGCUAACUUCGUGCCAGCCGCCGCAGUAA